AACCUAAAACAGAAACAAAUUAAACAUCUUGCAGCACAAUUGUCUGUUGAACAGCAGCUCUACUCUAAAGAAAUUACUGAGGCUUGUGUUUGCUCCGAUCAAGCCAGAAGAGCUGAAGCAUUCCAAAGUAAGAUCCUGGAUUGCAUUAAAUGCUACCUGGCCUGUGCACCUUUAUCGCUGAAGGCGUUCGAGUUAAUGUUGUUCAAAACAAGUUGGCACCUGUUAAAGCACUGCUUUCCAAUCAAACGCUUUACCUUUAAAAAGAACUUCACGAAUGAGUUCCUGCUGUCACGUCUUGCAUGGACAGCAAAAACUUUGUCUUCGGCAAGAAGUGGAUAAUCAUUGGGCUUUGAGAGAUUCUCUUCACGCCUGAUUUGCAAAAAUUACCCCACAACGACGAAUAAUUGCAAGACUCGUGUCGCGGUUGUUCUGUUGAGCGCUGGGCAACGACAAAAUGCCAUUGGCGUCAUUUUACCACGCCCUCGUUGGAUCAUCCAAAUUGGGAACGGAAUUGAUCAAAGCCUUCAUUAUUCCGAAAAUACGAACGAUAUAGGUGGACGCAUCGAACUUUACUUGGAUGGAACAGGGCAGGCCAAUGCCGAUCGGAUAGCAGCCUCCCACAUCAAGCAAUUGACGAUCUCAUGAAAGUGACGCGCCAAUCGCCUGAUAACAUUGACGAUUACCGUCAGGAGUUCGGGUAACUUGGGCCGGCUCUUCACGGUGCCGUAAAUAGAGCCCGAUCUCAGAACACAACUUCGGCGGCGUCGUCUACUGGCAUUUCAUCAGCUGCAUGAUCACUGUUGUAAUUUUCUAAUCCAAAUGUGCUAGCCGACAACCUCCGAUCGCUGCGUCAUACAGUUUUCGUCGACGAUUUGGAUGUCACUUUGUCAGAAGAAGAGGAUGUGAAUCAGGUGGCCCAGGAAGUGUCCCAUUUGUUGACUAAACAAUAUUUUUACCGCUCCGACAACAGAAACACGAAGAUAACGUUUCGCUUUUAUUUUUAGGACUACUUGUCAAAAUUUUUGGCGAGGAUCUCUGCACUGACGUCUUAAAAACUACUAUUUCAUGCUUAACGGACCCUCUACUUAAUCGCGACCUUGUUUUAAUGUUACUCGAUUUCGUCUUUUUGCAAAUCCUCCCAAUAUGUGCUUUCCAACAUAUGUGUUGUUUGUCGAAGCUUGUGUACUGAAAUCUUGAAUUGAACUCAAUGUUUCGAAACGUUAGUUGACAUGCCGCUGCAAGAUUUCGGUUAGGGGAAAAACAUUCAUUCUAAACUGAAUGAAAGCAGACCUGAAAAAUUCAGAAGCACACGGUUCAACCUCGCCAGCAUGAUAUAUUACUUUUAAUUCGGAUAAACGCCUGUGUAACCGACGAGAAAUACAAUUCU
This is a long non-coding RNA of Daphnia pulex (common water flea), 1387 nucleotides long. RefSeq lists it as uncharacterized. NCBI's taxonomy places the organism in Eukaryota, Metazoa, Arthropoda, Branchiopoda, Diplostraca, Daphniidae. The transcript has 6 exons. The record is from RefSeq and is a predicted model, not a curated record.